This 594-nucleotide ribosomal RNA is filed under the name Trichoderma aggressivum. RNAcentral's name for it is "eukaryotic LSU rRNA". The stretch from base 206 to 359 matches the Rfam family "5.8S ribosomal RNA". The record is from RNAcentral. Lineage: Eukaryota; Fungi; Ascomycota; Sordariomycetes; Hypocreales; Hypocreaceae.
GGGAAUCGUAGGCGGAGCACCAUCAUAGGCGGAGGAGCAUAUUAAUGAGCGGAGGACCAUAUCUCUGGAGGAGGAAGUCUCAACCCCCGAAGGAGCGCCCGCCGGAGGACCAACCCAAAACUCUUGUUGUAUACCCCCUCGCGGGUUGUUUUUACUAUCUGAGCCUUUCUCGGCGCCCCUCGCGGGCGUUUCGAAAAUGAAUCAAAACUUUCAACAACGGAUCUCUUGGUUCUGGCAUCGAUGAAGAACGCAGCGAAAUGCGAUAAGUAAUGUGAAUUGCAGAAUUCAGUGAAUCAUCGAAUCUUUGAACGCACAUUGCGCCCGCCAGUAUUCUGGCGGGCAUGCCUGUCCGAGCGUCAUUUCAACCCUCGAACCCCUCCGGGGGGUCGGCGUUGGGGAUCGGCCCUCCCUCGCGGGGGCCGUCUCCGAAAUCCAGUGGCGGUCUCGCCGCAGCCUCUCCUGCGCAGUAGUUUGCACACUCGCACCGGGAGCGCGGCGCGUCCACAGCCGUUAAACACCCAACUUUCUGAAAUGUUGACCUCGGAUCAGGUAGGAAUACCCGCUGAACUUAAGCAUAUCAAUAAGCGGAGGAAA